RNAcentral lists this ribosomal RNA (1372 nucleotides) under uncultured bacterium. RNAcentral describes it as "bacterial SSU rRNA". It matches the Rfam family "Bacterial small subunit ribosomal RNA", at positions 28 to 1381 of the family's 1533-position model. The record is from RNAcentral.
GAUAAACGCUGGCGGCGUGCCUAAUACAUGCAAGUCGAGCGAACGGACGAGAAGCUUGCUUCUCUGAUGUUAGCGGCGGACGGGUGAGUAACACGUGGAUAACCUACCUAUAAGACUGGGAUAACUUCGGGAAACCGGAGCUAAUACCGGAUAAUAUUUUGAACCGCAUGGUUCAAAAGUGAAAGACGGUCUUGCUGUCACUUAUAGAUGGAUCCGCGCUGCAUUAGCUAGUUGGUAAGGUAACGGCUUACCAAGGCAACGAUGCAUAGCCGACCUGAGAGGGUGAUCGGCCACACUGGAACUGAGACACGGUCCAGACUCCUACGGGAGGCAGCAGUAGGGAAUCUUCCGCAAUGAGCGAAAGCCUGACGGAGCAACGCCGCGUGAGUGAUGAAGGUCUUCGGAUCGUAAAACUCUGUUAUUAGGGAAGAACAUAUGUGUAAGUAACUGUGCACAUCUUGACGGUACCUAAUCAGAAAGCCACGGCUAACUACGUGCCAGCAGCCGCGGUAAUACGUAGGUGGCAAGCGUUAUCCGGAAUUAUUGGGCGUAAAGCGCGCGUAGGCGGUUUUUUAAGUCUGAUGUGAAAGCCCACGGCUCAACCGUGGAGGGUCAUUGGAAACUGGAAAACUUGAGUGCAGAAGAGGAAAGUGGAAUUCCAUGUGUAGCGGUGAAAUGCGCAGAGAUAUGGAGGAACACCAGUGGCGAAGGCGACUUUCUGGUCUGUAACUGACGCUGAUGUGCGAAAGCGUGGGGAUCAAACAGGAUUAGAUACCCUGGUAGUCCACGCCGUAAACGAUGAGUGCUAAGUGUUAGGGGGUUUCCGCCCCUUAGUGCUGCAGCUAACGCAUUAAGCACUCCGCCUGGGGAGUACGACCGCAAGGUUGAAACUCAAAGGAAUUGACGGGGACCCGCACAAGCGGUGGAGCACGUGGUUUAAUUCGAAGCAACGCGAAGAACCUUACCAAAUCUUGACAUCCUUUGACAACUCUAGAGAUAGAGCCUUCCCCUUCGGGGGACAAAGUGACAGGUGGUGCAUGGUUGUCGUCAGCUCGUGUCGUGAGAUGUUGGGUUAAGUCCCGCAACGAGCGCAACCCUUAAGCUUAGUUGCCAUCAUUAAGUUGGGCACUCUAAGUUGACUGCCGGUGACAAACCGGAGGAGGGUGGGGAUGACGUCAAAUCAUCAUGCCCCUUAUGAUUUGGGCUACACACGUGCUACAAUGGACAAUACAAAGGGCAGCGAAACCGCGAGGUCAAGCAAAUCCCAUAAAGUUGUUCUCAGUUCGGAUUGUAGUCUGCAACUCGACUACAUGAAGCUGGAAUCGCUAGUAAUCGUAGAUCAGCAUGCUACGGUGAAUACGUUCCCGGGUCU